Molecule: ribosomal RNA, 433 nt
Filed under: uncultured bacterium
Lineage: Bacteria
Description: partial 16S ribosomal RNA
Rfam family: Bacterial small subunit ribosomal RNA
Source: RNAcentral
AGCGAACGCUGGCGGCAGGCUUAACACAUGCAAGUCGAGCGGGCCCUUCGGGGUCUGCGGCGUACGGGUUAGUAACCCGUGGGAACGUGCCUACUUGGCUGGAAUAACUAUGGGAAACUAGGGAUAAUACCGGAUACGCCCUUUUGGGGGAAGGUUUACUGCCGGAAGAUCGUCCCGCGUCUGAUUAGCUAGUUGGUGGGGUAACGGCCUACCAAGGCGACGAUCAGUAGCUGGUCUGAGAGGAUGAUCAGCCACACUGGGACUGAGACACGGCCCAGACUCCUACGGGAGGCAGCAGUGGGGAAUAUUGGACAAUGGGCGCAAGCCUGAUCCAGCCAUGCCGCGUGAGUGAUGAAGGCCUUAGGGUUGUAAAGCUCUUUUAUCCGGGACGAUAAUGACGGUACCGGAGGAAUAAGCCCCGGCUAACUUCGUG